This 496-nucleotide ribosomal RNA is filed under the name uncultured bacterium. Its description in RNAcentral is "partial 16S ribosomal RNA". It matches the Rfam family "Bacterial small subunit ribosomal RNA", at positions 28 to 506 of the family's 1533-position model. The record is from RNAcentral.
GAUGAACGCUGGCGGCGUGCCUAAUACAUGCAAGUCGAGCGAACAGACGAGGAGCUUGCUCCUCUGACGUUAGCGGCGGACGGGUGAGUAACACGUGGAUAACCUACCUAUAAGACUGGGAUAACUUCGGGAAACCGGAGCUAAUACCGGAUAAUAUAUUGAACCGCAUGGUUCAAUAGUGAAAGACGGUUUUGCUGUCACUUAUAGAUGGAUCCGCGCCGCAUUAGCUAGUUGGUAAGGUAACGGCUUACCAAGGCAACGAUGCGUAGCCGACCUGAGAGGGUGAUCGGCCACACUGAAACUGAGACACGGUCCAGACUCCUACGGGAGGCAGCAGUAGGGAAUCUUCCGCAGUGGGCGAAAGCCUGACGGAGCAACGCCGCGUGAGUGAUGAAGGUCUUCGGAUCGUAAAACUCUGUUAUUAGGGAAGAACAAAUGUGUAAGUAACUAUGCACGUCUUGACGGUACCUAAUCAGAAAGCCACGGCUAACUACGU